This 719-nucleotide ribosomal RNA is filed under the name uncultured bacterium. RNAcentral's name for it is "bacterial SSU rRNA". It matches the Rfam family "Bacterial small subunit ribosomal RNA", at positions 28 to 740 of the family's 1533-position model. The record is from RNAcentral.
AUUGAACGCUGGCGGCAUGCCUUACACAUGCAAGUCGAACGGCAGCACGGGUGCUUGCACCUGGUGGCGAGUGGCGAACGGGUGAGUAAUACAUCGGAACGUACCUUAUCGUGGGGGAUAACGCAGCGAAAGUUGCGCUAAUACCGCAUACGCCCUGAGGGGGAAAGCGGGGGACCGUAAGGCCUCGCGCGAUUAGAGCGGCCGAUGUCUGAUUAGCUUGUUGGUGAGGUAAAAGCUCACCAAGGCGAUGAUCAGUAGCUGGUCUGAGAGGACGAUCAGCCACACUGGGACUGAGACACGGCCCAGACUCCUACGGGAGGCAGCAGUGGGGAAUUUUGGACAAUGGGGGCAACCCUGAUCCAGCAAUGCCGCGUGAGUGAAGAAGGCCUUCGGGUUGUAAAGCUCUUUUGUCAGGGAAGAAACAGCAGCUCUAACACAGACUGCGAAUGACGGUACCUGAAGAAUAAGCACCGGCUAACUACGUGCCAGCAGCCGCGGUAAUACGUAGGGUGCGAGCGUUAAUCGGAAUUACUGGGCGUAAAGCGUGCGCAGGCGGUUAUACAAGACAGGCGUGAAAUCCCCGGGCUUAACCUGGGAAUGGCGUCUGUGACUGUAUAGCUAGAGUGUGUCAGAGGGGGGUGGAAUUCCACGUGUAGCAGUGAAAUGCGUAGAUAUGUGGAGGAACUACCAAUGGCGAAGGCAGCCCCCUGGGAUAACAC